RNAcentral lists this ribosomal RNA (321 nucleotides) under uncultured bacterium. Its description in RNAcentral is "bacterial SSU rRNA". It matches the Rfam family "Bacterial small subunit ribosomal RNA", at positions 334 to 646 of the family's 1533-position model. The record is from RNAcentral.
UUCUCCUACGGGAGGCAGCAGUAGGGAAUCUUCCACAAUGGACGCAAGUCUGAUGGAGCAACGCCGCGUGAGUGAAGAAGGUCUUCGGAUCGUAAAGCUCUGUUGUUGGUGAAGAAGGAUAGAGGCAGUAACUGGUCUUUAUUUGACGGUAAUCAACCAGAAAGUCACGGCUAACUACGUGCCAGCAGCCGCGGUAAUACGUAGGUGGCAAGCGUUGUCCGGAUUUAUUGGGNGUAAAGCGAGCGCAGGCGGAAUGAUAAGUCUGAUGUGAAAGNNNCACGGCUCAACCGUGGAACUGCAUCGGAAACUGUCAUUCUUGAG